UGGAUCAAUGAUGAGUAUUGGUGGAGGUACUGAAUCAAUGCCUUUGAUUAAGCCCUCUGUGUGACUCUGAGGUCCGU
This 77-nucleotide small nucleolar RNA is filed under the name Rhinolophus ferrumequinum (greater horseshoe bat). RNAcentral describes it as "Small nucleolar RNA SNORD113/SNORD114 family (ENSRFEG00010005198.1)". It matches the Rfam family "Small nucleolar RNA SNORD113/SNORD114 family". Rfam says of the family: The imprinted human domain at 14q32 contains two clusters of tandemly repeated small nucleolar RNAs named 14q(I) and 14q(II) snoRNAs. These two clusters are named SNORD113 and SNORD114 respectively in the HGNC approved gene symbol nomenclature. The snoRNAs found in both clusters are clearly related and are represented here by a single family. The record is from Rfam by way of RNAcentral. Lineage: Eukaryota; Metazoa; Chordata; Mammalia; Chiroptera; Rhinolophidae.